This is a non-coding RNA of Delphinapterus leucas (beluga whale), 3392 nucleotides long. The record is from RefSeq and is a predicted model, not a curated record. NCBI's taxonomy places the organism in Eukaryota, Metazoa, Chordata, Mammalia, Artiodactyla, Monodontidae.
GGGAUCUUCCCGGACCAGGUCUCGAACCCAUGUUCCCCGCACUGCCAGGUGGAUUCUUAACCACUGUGCCACCAGGGAAGUCUCUGAUUGUACAGUUUUAAAUGUAACGUAAUAGAAACCACAGGUGUACGUAUUUCAGUGUUUUCUGAGCUAUGAGGAAGUGGGGUCACUUCACAAGACAUAGCUCGCCUGUGCUGCCUCUUCAGAAUGAAGAUGCGACCUGCAGGCUCCCCUCCGGGGUGGGUCAGGAUAAGACACUCAGGCUCUAUGCAGGGAGCCGUGUUGUCACGUCCUGGCUGAUCCUGGGGCGUUGUCGCAUGACCCCCGGGCCAGAGCUGGAAAGGGGGUCUCACCCCAGCAAAGCCUCCGUCAGGGGAAGCUGCUCACCUUUAAAAGUGAGAAGUGGACCCCGUGCCAUCAGAGCACAGAGUUCUCUGGAAUUACCUGGGGCAGCAGGGGAGGAAGGUGGCCCAGGCCUCUGGGGUCUGGAGGGCUGGCCUGUGCAGCCCCUCCCGAUCAACCUAAGGGGCCGACCUGCAGGAUGGAGCCCUGAGGAACCAGGUACGAGGCAAACUCAGGGUCACUAACGCUUUUCCAAGAGAUGGCAGUCUCUGAAUGUGAAGGACAACGGCCGAGUCCCCCGACCAUUGUGGGAAAUGCAGUCGUUUGCAGGGCUGAGGAGAGGGCGGUGGGCAGCUGUGCCUCCUGCACGUGAGACCCCCGCCUGGUCCUGCACUGAGGGUAGGUGCUCCUUGAGUGGGACCCUGGGUGACUUUCCUGGCACUGGGUCAGAUAGCACAUCCUCCCGGGUAGCUGCCGCUCACGUUUCUGCUGUUCCCCACGGGCUCUGGCGACCACUGCUCUGUGCUCUCAGAUGCUGCGUUUCUCACAAAUCCGAGGUUCGUGGCAGUCCUGCGUUGAGCAAACCUGGUGCCGAUUCUUCAACUGCAUUUACUCACUUUGUCGUGUCUUAGUUAUUCUUAGUGUUUCAAACUUUCAUUAGUUGAUGUGUGACAGUGAUUUUAUUGAUUCUGAUUUGGAAAACUCAGGUGCUGGUUAGUGUUUUUUAGCGAUGAAGUGUUAAGGUGUAUAUAGGCUGUUCAGAUGUAAGUCUGUAUACAUAACAGAUUGAAACAUAGUGUGAACAAGCUUUAUAUGCACCGGGACACCCACCAAGUCAUGUGAUUCGUGUUAUUGUGAUCAGUUUCCGGUGAUGGAGAGAUCUUGGAUUCACAUCUGAGGUCUGCCUGUCACACGCCCUGGGGGAGCCUGUGGAGCUCUGGGAACAGGACUGGGGCUCCAGGAACACUGUGUCCCCCUGCACCCUGUAGAAGGGACAGCCUGGACUAGUGUGACAGAAGUGACAAGUGGUCUGGAGCAGAGGAGGGUCACAGUCUCUCCUGGACCAAACUGGCUGGGCUUCUCUGAGCAGUUCCCAACUAGGCCCUGACCCUUCAGGCUUCAGCGUCUGGAUUUUCAUGGUUCAUUUUAGCAAGAUUCCUGUUGUGUCAGAGCUCCCCAGGCUCAACUUCUGACCGCCAUCAACAUCUGACUGGAUCCCUCAUCCGCCUUCCUCCCCUACUGAGGCCUCACUCUCCGGUCUGCCCUCAGCAUGAAUCCUGUACGUCGGUUCAGUGCUGUGAUCGGAAUGUGUAUCCCCCAAGCUCCUGUCGAAUCCUAAUGCCUGACGUGAUGGUGUUGGCCUUUGGGAGGUGAUGAUGUCAUGAGGGUGGAGCCCCUGUGAAUGGGAUUAGUACCCUGAUAAGAGCCCCCAGCGAGCCCCCAGCCCUUCCCCCAUGUGAGGACAUAGGGAGAAGACGCUGUCUGUGAACCAGGAAGAAGCCUCACCAGACGUUGAAUCUGCCGUCGCCUUGAUCCUGGACGUCCAGUCUCUGGGUGGUGAGGACUCGACUCGUGUUUAAGCCCACAGUCUGGUCCUGUUAGAGCAGCUCAGACAGACACCUCCACCCCUGCUGUUUCCUCUGACUUCCCGUUGGUGGCACCACCCUGCUCCCGGCUGUCACCCCCGCAGUGGGAGAAGCGAGAAGUGUUAACACCUGUUUCUGAAUUUGUUGGUCGUAACAGUACCAGUGCCUGGAACCCUGGCCUGUAACUGGGGGAACGAAUCAAACAGUGGAAUCGAGGACGAUGCCAGGAGUUGUGACGUAAACAGGCAGUAAAGAUGAAGCUGAAGGAAGACAGGCUGUCGAAGAGAAAAUCAAAGCCUAUUUGGGUUGAAGUGGAGCCCGACACCUGCCCAACACGGGGGACGAGAUGUUCGAGGGAAGCUGGCUGUGCAGCCGGGGCAGAGGUAAAACCUGGGAGCCUGUGGGGAACAGAUGUAGCUGAAAGCUGGGCUGGGGGCGCCCGUGGGGGGCACGAUGGGAGAGGUUGGGAGAUGGGGGAAAGCAGUGGGAGGACGGAAGGAUGAAGACCGUCAUGUUCAGGACCCCCAGGAGGAGCCUCACGAAGGGGGAGCGAGCGAGUGAACGCCGUCAGGGUCCAGUACCAGUGCCCAUGGGGCGGGGCGGGGUGGCGGGAGGUGGUGAGGGAGCCAGGCCUGUCGAUGAGGGGACAGAGGGCGCGGGGGGCUGCGUGUGUGGGAGAUCCUUGCCGGGUGUUCCGAGGAGAGGGAAAGUGGCGGUUGGAGGAGUGAACUCCCGGGACCUCUCAGUGUCGGGAGCUGUCGCUGCGUUUGUGGGGUAACCUUCAUAAAGCAGAAGAGGAAAUGGUUAGGUGCAGGGAGAGGGCAGGGCGGCUGCUGAGAAAGGCCUGGACGGGCCCCUGGCGCCAGCGCGAAGAGGCCUUAGACGGGUGCGGACGGGGCCCUCGAGGCAGCGGGAGAUGGUGAACUUGAAGGUGAGAAUAUCUGGAUGUUCUCUUCGGUGCAGAGGCUCAGAUCCCCCUCCCCGCCGCCUGGGCUCUGAUCUCCCUCCCCGCCGCCUGGGCUCUGAUCUCUGAGACCCUCCGGAUACCCUCCUUUUACAGGGCCGACUUGAUCUGCCUCUGACCGUGGUGGGUCCCAGCUCCUGCUCUGUCCUCCCCAAACCCCAGCCUGUAUCCACACAGGUGCAGACUACUCCCGGGUGCACAGUAAACACUCGUGUACCCAGUAGCGUGUACACAUGGUAAAACCUUUACCUCUGAGAUCUUGUUUUUUGUGUCCUACCCAUAAAUACCCAGAAGCAGGAUUUCAGGGUCGUGGGGCAGGUCUGUUAGCUUCCUGAGCAACCUCCCCAGUCUGACAGAAAGAGACCAGGUGAUGCAGGAGGUGGACACCUGGAAUGACCCCCAGGCUGGGCAGCUCCGUGACCCUGCUGGGCGGGGCCUGGGGGAAGCUGAGUGGGGAGGGUGGUGGGAUGCAGGAGGGUGGGCCGUGGGGCUGUGUGUGG